UGGGGAGUGGUCUAAAGGAAUGACGCCGGCCUUUGGAGCCGUGAGAUCCUGGGUUCGAAUCCCGGCUCCCCAG
This 73-nucleotide transfer RNA is filed under the name Thermoleophilaceae bacterium. RNAcentral describes it as "tRNA-Gln". It matches the Rfam family "tRNA". Rfam says of the family: Transfer RNA (tRNA) molecules are approximately 80 nucleotides in length. Their secondary structure includes four short double-helical elements and three loops (D, anti-codon, and T loops). The record is from RNAcentral. Lineage: Bacteria; Bacillati; Actinomycetota; Thermoleophilia; Thermoleophilales; Thermoleophilaceae.